AUACCGGACUCUAAGAGGCUCGGUAAUUGAAAUGAGUACAGUUUAAAACCCUUAACGAGGAUCUAUUGGAGGGCAAGUCUGGUGCCAGCAGCCGCGGUAAUUCCAGCUCCAAUAGCGUAUAUUAAAGUUGUUGCAGUUAAAAAGCUCGUAGUUGGAUCUCGGGUACUAGCAUGUGGUACGCUUUACUGCUGUUACUACAUGUCUGGUCCUAAUCAAUCGGUUGGCCGUUGAUGCCCUUCAUUGGGUGUUUUCGGUAGCCGGUACGUUUACUUUGAGAAAAUUAGAGUGCUUAAAGCAGGCUAUACGCCUGAAUAAUGUUGCAUGGAAUAAUAGGAUAGGACCUCGGUUUUAUUUUGUUGGUUUUGUAGAGCAUUGAGGUAAUGAUUAAUAGGGACAGACGGGGGCAUUCGUAUUGCGGUGUUAGAGGUGAAGUUCUUGGAUCGCCGCAAGACGAACAACUGCGAAAGCAUUUGCCAAGAAUGUUUUCAUUAAUCAAGAACGGAAGUUGGAGGUUCGAAGACGAUUAGAUACCGUCCUAGUUCCAACCAUAAACGAUGCCAACUAGCAAUUAGCUGCUGUUAAUUAAACGACACAGCUAGCGGCUUCCGGGAAACCAAAGUUUUUGGGUUCCGGGGGAAGUAUGGUUGCAAAGCUGAAACUUAAAGGAAUUGACGGAAGGGCACCACCAGGAGUGGAGCCUGCGGCUUAAUUUGACCCAACACGGGAAAUCUCACCCGGCCCGGACACUGUAAGGAUUGACAGAUUGAGAGCUCUUUCUUGAUUCGGUGGGUGGUGGUGCAUGGCCGUUCUUAGUUGGUGGAGCGAUUUGUCUGGUUAAUUCCGAUAACGAACGAGACUCUAGCCUGCUAAAUAGUACGCCGAUCUUUUGUCGGCGCGUACUUCUUAGAGGGACAAGUAGCGGUUAGCUACACGAAAUUGAGCAAUAACAGGUCUGUGAUGCCCUUAGAUGUUCGGGGCCGCACGCGCGCUACACUGAAGGGAUAAGCGUGUUUUUCCUGCUCUGAAAAGAGUGGGUAACCCGCUGAAACCCCUUCGUGAUUGGGAUCGGGGCUUGAAAUUAUUCUCCGUGAACGAGGAAUUCCCAGUAAGCGCGAGUCAUAAGCUCGCGUUGAUUACGUCCCUGCCCUUUGUACACACCGCCCGUCGCUACUACCGAUUGAAUGGUUUAGUGAGAUCCUCGGAUUGGUCCGGAAGUGACCGCAAGGUUGCCUCUAGGUUCUGAAAAGACG
RNAcentral lists this ribosomal RNA (1250 nucleotides) under metagenome. RNAcentral's name for it is "SSU rRNA". It matches the Rfam family "Eukaryotic small subunit ribosomal RNA", at positions 483 to 1757 of the family's 1831-position model. The record is from RNAcentral.